GUUAUCGUUUCUAUGGUACAGCUCAAGCGGCAGGGGUAAUAAACGGAUUAAAAACCGUGUGUAAAUGUAAAUAUAUGAUAAAUAUAAGAUAUGGCAAAUUCUUUUAAUUAAGGAGACAUUUUAUGUAGCAUGUUUAUAGAAGGAAGGAGUCUCCAGUGUCAGCGCUUUGUAACAGUCAGAGGUGAAGAUGUAACUUUACGUUUUCGGACAUCUUCAGGACGUUUUAUUUCUUUCUCUGUAACAUGACCAGCUGCGUUUUUUUUUUUUUUUUUGCCUUAUUAACCUUGAAAGAGACAAAAAAAGAGAAUUAAUUACCAUGGCAACAGGGUGAUGAACAACUGGUGUGACACAUUAAUUACCACAGCAACAGGGUAACAAGUAACAAGUGUUAUAAAUUAAUUACCAUGCCAACGGGGUAACAAGUUUCAUAAAUUAAUUACCAUAGCAACAUGGUGAUAAAUAACAGGAGAGACAAAUCAACUAUCAUGGCAACGGGGUAAUAAAUUACCAUGGCAAAAAACGGUAUCAAGCAAUAGGUGUGGCAAAUUAAUUACCAUGGCAACAGGGUAUCAAGUAACAGGUGUGGCAAAUUAAUUACCAUGGCAACAGGGUACUUACUUACCAUGGCAACAGGGCAUCAAGCAAAUUAACUACCAUGGCAACAGGGUAUCAAGUAACAGGUAUGACAAAUUAAUUACCAUGGCAACAGGGUAUCAAGCAAUAGGUGUGGCAAAUUAAUUACCAUGGCAACAGGGUACUUACUUACCAUGGCAACAGGGCAUCAAGCAAAUUAACUACCAUGGCAACAGGGUAUCAAGUAACAGGUAUGACAAAUUAAUUACCAUGGCAACAGGGUAUCAAGCAAUAGGUGUGGCAAAUUAAUUACCAUGGCAACAGGGUACUUAACUACCAUGGCAACAGGGCAUCAAGCAAAUUAACUACCAUGGCAACAGGGUAUCAAGUAACAGGUAUGACAAAUUAAUUACCGUGGCAACAGGGUAUCAAGCAAUAGGUGUGGCAAAUUAAUUACCAUGGAAACAGGGUAAUUAACUACCAUGGCAACAGGGUAGCCAGCAAAAGGAAAUAAUGACCAUAUAAUAAGGAAAAUGAAGAGCAGACCAGGCACUGAGUACGCUGAGUCAAAAGAGACAGAAUCCUGAAGAUAACAAAUCACCCUUAUACAACAUUCAUGAUAAUAUUUGACACGUACAGUCAGUUACUGAAGUAAAAACAGUUUGCUUGGUCUUCGUCAGUCUGCAUCACGCUAACGAGAGAAGCUGUUUAUCUUCCAGAUAAAGUGCUUGUCUUUUUUUUUCUUUUUUCUUCUUUUACAGAUGGCCCCUCCCACUGGCUGACCAUAAAAAGCCGUUAUGCUAAUGAAGCCUGUGUGCCUUUCACCUAAAGCCCAUUAGUUUCCUUUCGUCGCCACGAGUAACAGGUGGGCGGAGUCGAGCUGUCAGUCUCCGAGCAGGUUCUUAAGAAACUCGAGAUUCCUGUUUUCUUUGAAGAAAGAGAAGGUCACGCUAACAAGCCGAGCGACUUUAAACCUCGGCCAAACACCACCAGACUGAACUUACUGUGGUUCCACAUGGAUACACACUCGCAACACAGUGUGUGUGUGUGUGUGUGUGUGUGUGUGUGUGUGUGUGUGUGUGUGUGUGUGAUGUUACACAUAGUGUGGGGCAUUAAGCUUCUGCCCAGGCAACCUACACACACACACACACGCACACACACACGCACACACACGCACAUACAGACACACACACUCUGAACUCUACUGCUAUAACUUAGUCACUUUAAGAAAAAGAGAAGAAAUCAGGUUUAAGGGGAAUAUUGAGAGAGCGAGAGAGAGAGAGGGAGAGAGAGAGAGAGAGAGAACAAGUACAUGACAGAUGGAGAGAGAGAAAAUGUAUAUGAGAGAUGAAGAGUAUGAAAGAGAGGGAGAGAGGGAAAGAAGGUAUAACAGAGCGGGAGACGG
Molecule: long non-coding RNA, 1978 nt
Organism: Ictalurus punctatus (channel catfish)
Lineage: Eukaryota; Metazoa; Chordata; Actinopteri; Siluriformes; Ictaluridae
Source: Ensembl